GAUGAACGCUGGCGGCGUGCUUAACACAUGCAAGUCGAACGAUGAAGCCCAGCUUGCCGGGUGGAUUAGUGGCGAACGGGUGAGUAACACGUGAGUAACCUGCCCUUAACUCUGGGAUAAGCCUGGGAAACUGGGUCUAAUACCGGAUAGGAGCGUCCACCGCAUGGUGGGUGUUGGAAAGAUUUAUCGGUUUUGGAUGGACUCGCGGCCUAUCAGCUUGUUGGUGAGGUAAUGGCUCACCAAGGCGACGACGGGUAGCCGGCCUGAGAGGGUGACCGGCCACACUGGGACUGAGAAACGGCCCAGACUCCUACGGGAGGCAGCAGUGGGGAAUAUUGCACAAUGGGCGCAAGCCUGAUGCAGCGACGCCGCGUGAGGGAUGACGGCCUUCGGGUUGUAAACCUCUUUCAGUAGGGAAGAAGCGAAAGUGACGGUACCUGCAGAAGAAGCACCGGCUAACUACGUG
This 466-nucleotide ribosomal RNA is filed under the name uncultured bacterium. RNAcentral describes it as "partial 16S ribosomal RNA". It matches the Rfam family "Bacterial small subunit ribosomal RNA", at positions 28 to 507 of the family's 1533-position model. The record is from RNAcentral.